GUGGGGAAUUUUGGACAAUGGGCGCAAGCCUGAUCCAGCCAUGUCGCGUGAGUGAAGAAGGCCUUCGGGUUGUAAAGCUCUUUCGGCCGGGAAGAAAUCGGCGACUCUAACAUAGUCGCUGGAUGACGGUACCGGACUAAGAAGCACCGGCUAACUACGUGCCAGCAGCCGCGGUAAUACGGAGGGUGCGAGCGUUAAUCGGAAUUACUGGGCGUAAAGCGGGCGCAGGCGGUUUUGUAAGACAGAUGUGAAAUCCCCGGGCUUAACCUGGGAACUGCGUUUGUGACUGCAAGGCUAGAGUACGGCAGAGGGGGGUGGAAUUCCUGGUGUAGCAGUGAAAUGCGUAGAUAUCAGGAGGAACACCGAUGGCGAAGGCAGCCCCCUGGGCCUGUACUGACGCUCAUGCACGAAAGCGUGGGGAGCAAACAGGAUUAGAAACCCGGGUAGUCC
Molecule: ribosomal RNA, 450 nt
Filed under: uncultured bacterium
Lineage: Bacteria
Description: partial 16S ribosomal RNA
Rfam family: Bacterial small subunit ribosomal RNA
Source: RNAcentral